Molecule: long non-coding RNA, 757 nt
Organism: Helianthus annuus (common sunflower)
Lineage: Eukaryota; Viridiplantae; Streptophyta; Magnoliopsida; Asterales; Asteraceae
Exons: 3
Source: RefSeq, a predicted model, not a curated record
AGUGAAAACUGCAAACGUUCACUAAAGGGACAUUUUUGAGAAAGAAGAGCACACAACUGCUCAAGGUUGAUUAGUUACUUUUACUUUGAUGGGGUUAUGUUGGUUUUGCAAAAAUCGUUCAACUUCCUGCUUCUUCAAGGACCUUCCUUUACCCAUUUUGGUGAUCUCUUUAAUCGUUAUACAUUAAGAACGGUGGGAACACCAACUCAUGUGGAUAUAGCUAGUGACAAGCAUUUGGUCAAAGCUAGUCACCGGAUUAACUCGCCUGCCUCCCUGUACCUUUUGUUAUAACCAAAAGUUCUUCCAAAUGUGCCUAUUUUUUGGUUUGUGUCAUCACUAGAUCCAUAUGCUUUUCUAGCUGCCAUACAAGCCGGAGAUCUAAUGGUGUCUCCUCAACUUUCACUUAGCUCUUUGACAUUUCCACGCCGUGCACACCGGCCCGCCAACGGCCUGGAGUUGGAGGCGAUUAGUUUUCCACUACACACAACGGGAUGGAAAGGUAAAGUGCGGGUGUCUGAGUGAAAUGAUAUGAAGAUAAGGGAGGUGACCAAGUGUCUUAAGAAGAUUGAGAUGUGAAAAGACCAUCCUAUCCCUCACACCAAUUAAGCCACACUUCAAUGAAGAAGAAAAAGUACAAAUAUAUAGAAUUGUCUAUUUAAAGAAGCUAAAGUUUUCGUAUAACGAUGAUGAGCGUUUGUGCAUUUGCUAUAGAUGUAGUCGCUGAGAUUGAAUAUCUGCUUAAAACUAUUGCCAUGAA